CAGUAGCCGCGGGAAUACAGAGGGUGCGAGCGUUAAUCGGAUUUACUGGGCGUAAAGCGUGCGUAGGCGGCUUUUUAAGUCGGAUGUGAAAUCCCUGAGCUUAACUUAGAAAUUGCAUUCGAUACUGGGAAGCUAGAGUAUGGGAGAGGAUGGUAGAAUUCCAGGUGUAGCGGUGAAAUGCGUAGAGAUCUGGAGGAAUACCGAUGGCGAAGGCAGCCAUCUGGCCUAAUACUGACGCUGAGGUACGAAAGCAUGGGGAGCAAACAGGAUUAGAUACCCGAGUAGUCCCUGUCUCUUAUAA
Molecule: ribosomal RNA, 301 nt
Filed under: uncultured bacterium
Lineage: Bacteria
Description: partial 16S ribosomal RNA
Rfam family: Bacterial small subunit ribosomal RNA
Source: RNAcentral